Molecule: small nuclear RNA, 199 nt
Organism: Myotis daubentonii (Daubenton's bat)
Lineage: Eukaryota; Metazoa; Chordata; Mammalia; Chiroptera; Vespertilionidae
Product: U2 spliceosomal RNA
Source: RefSeq, a predicted model, not a curated record
AUCGCUUCUCGGCCUUUUGGCUAGGAUCAAGUGUAGUAUCAUAAAGACACUACAGAUACAUGUGUUUCUCAAGGAUACUUACCCUUCUGGUAGUAUCUAGAGGUUAAUUCUGGUUCAUGCUGUUGCUACAAUAAAAGCCUAAGGAGGCAGGCGAACAGGGUUGUCUGGUUCCUUUAGCCAGGCAGUCCCUUAGCCCUCU